This 253-nucleotide ribosomal RNA is filed under the name uncultured bacterium. RNAcentral's name for it is "partial 16S ribosomal RNA". It matches the Rfam family "Bacterial small subunit ribosomal RNA", at positions 524 to 776 of the family's 1533-position model. The record is from RNAcentral.
UACGUAGGGGCCUAGCGUUGUCCGGAUUUAUUGGGCGUAAAGAGCUCGUAGGUGGUUUGUCGCGUUGUUCGUGAAAACUCACAACUCAAUUGUGGGCGUGCGGGCGAUACGGGCAGACUGGAGUACUGCAGGGGAGACUGGAAUUCCUGGUGUAGCGGUGGAAUGCGCAGAUAUCAGGAGGAACACCGGUGGCGAAGGCGGGUCUCUGGGCAGUAACUGACGCUGAGGAGCGAAAGCGUGGGGAGCGAACAGG